This 1627-nucleotide long non-coding RNA is filed under the name Nicotiana tabacum (common tobacco). RNAcentral describes it as "long non-coding RNA (NTAB_LNC016280)". Lineage: Eukaryota; Viridiplantae; Streptophyta; Magnoliopsida; Solanales; Solanaceae. The record is from RNAcentral.
UAAGUAAAGAAAUAUCUGAAUCUUAUACAUUCUCCAAGGACUGGUAGUACGAAUCAUGAGCUUUUAAGAAUAGAGUUUACAAAGCGAAAAUGAAGUAAAUACAUUGUCUGUUUGAAAAAGACAUUAACAGAGUUUUAUAGAUCUAAGGCUACCAUGAACAAGAGACAGCUACAACCAGGACGCAGGUACAUCUUCAAAUCCAUCUCCCAUCGAACAUAGAAACAUCAGCAGUCAGUAUAUGCAUGCAAGGUACAGAAGUGUAGUAUAAGUACAACCGACCCCAUGUACAUAAUACGUAACAAACCUAACCUUAGGUUGAAAGUAGUGACGAGCUAACACAAAGGUCGGGUUCAACACCAAUAUUCCACAACAGUUCAUAACAACAUAGUACAAGUAACAAAAGAGUUAUCUCAGAAAUAAAAUGCCUAGUUCGUUCACAGUUCCAUAAAAAUAGGCAGUUCUUUUCAAGUAUCUCAGUGAAAACCCAAAUCUUUUAGUGAAAGCCAAAUACGAGUAAGUUUAAAAACAGUGAUUUUUUCCAAAUAUCCUUUCAACAAUAAUUAAGAUGUUUCAUUUUUCAGAUAGUAUGAAUAAAUUACGUCUCUAUGCCUACUUGUCAAGAUACAGGUAAAAUCAUAAAUGUCACAAAACUAGGUCGCAGAAGGAAAUGCAUCUCUAUGCAUGUAUCUCAAGUACGCAUAUCAAAUGCAAUACAUCUCGAAGAUGAGCUCGUAUAAUCACACUCUCAUAGUACUCAAUCUCACUGUCUCGCAUCCUCUCUCACUAUGUUCAAUGCUCAGCAUACUUAAUCACUCAGCGCUGUACAAUACCCGAUGCGGCGUGCAACCUAAUCCACAUAUUUAUAGUCGACUGCACUCACUGGGGUGUGCAGACUCCGGAGGGGCUCCUAGAGCUCAAGAGCUAUAAUUUGCACAGAUAACUCACGUGCCAUAAUAUCAAUAUCUAGAUCCGCACGGACAACUCACGUGCUGCAUGGACAACUCACAUGCUAUAGUAUCAAUAUCUGGAUCCGCACGAAAAACUCACGUGUUGUACGGACAACUCACGUGCUAUAGUAUCAAUAUCUGGAUCCGCACGGACAACUCACGUGCUGCAUGGACAACUCACAUGUUAUUGUAUCAACAUCCUCACAAACAGGCCCCUGGCCUCACUCAGUCAUCAAUCUCUCCAGUCUCACUCACGGGCUCACAAUGUCAUGAAACUAGCCCGACAACAAUGACAUGAUGUAUCAAUAAACAAUAAUUGAAGCUGAGAUAUGAUAUAAAUGCAUGAAUAUGACUGAGUAUGAUAUAUCAAUAAAAUCAGUGAGAUGACAGCAUGACACGACCACUAUGGUCCUAACAGUAUCAGCAUAAAUCCUAAACAUGAUAUUUAGCAUAAUUGAUAGCUCAGUUACUUUAACACAUGGUGAUAACACAAAUAUCAACAAAAUAGGCCCACUAUAUAAUGCCAUGAAAAUAGUGGAGACACAAUUCACAGGGUGCACACCCACACGCCCAUCACGUAGCAUGUGCGUCACCUCAAUACUAAUCACAUAACACAUAAUUCGGGGUUUUGUACCUUCAGCUCCAAGAUUAGAAGAGUUACUUACCUCGAACAAGCCAAU